AACGAACGCUGGCGGCAUGCCUAACACAUGCAAGUCGAACGAGACCUUCGGGUCUAGUGGCGCACGGGUGCGUAACGCGUGGGAACCUGCCCUUAGGUUCGGAAUAACUCCCCGAAAGGGGUGCUAAUACCGGAUAAUGUCUUCGGACCAAAGAUUUAUCGCCUUUGGAUGGGCCCGCGUUGGAUUAGCUAGUUGGUAGGGUAAAAGCCUACCAAGGCGACGAUCCAUAGCUGGUCUGAGAGGAUGAUCAGCCACACUGGGACGGAGACACGGCCCAGACGCCAACGGGAGGCAGCAGUGGGGAAUGUUGCAGUAUGGGCGGACGCCGGAUGCAGCAACGCCGCGUGCGGGAUGAAGGCAUUCGGGUUGUAAACAGCUUGCGCAGGUGACGACGGGUGGGGGACGGUAAUGGGUAAAGAAGCGCGGGCUAAGUACGUG
RNAcentral lists this ribosomal RNA (438 nucleotides) under uncultured bacterium. RNAcentral describes it as "partial 16S ribosomal RNA". It matches the Rfam family "Bacterial small subunit ribosomal RNA", at positions 29 to 507 of the family's 1533-position model. The record is from RNAcentral.